RNAcentral lists this ribosomal RNA (2941 nucleotides) under Buchnera aphidicola (Stegophylla sp.). Its description in RNAcentral is "23S ribosomal RNA". It matches the Rfam family "Bacterial large subunit ribosomal RNA". The record is from RNAcentral. Lineage: Bacteria; Pseudomonadati; Pseudomonadota; Gammaproteobacteria; Enterobacterales; Erwiniaceae.
GUUGUAAGGUUAAGUAAUUAAGCGUAUAUGGUGGAUGCCUUGGCAAUCAGAGGCGAUGAAGGACGUGCUAAUCUGCGAAAAUCAUCGGUGAGUUGAUAAGAAACGUUAUUAACCGGUGGUGUCCGAAUGGGGAAACCCGAUGUAUUAGAAAUAAUAUGUCAUUGUCAAUUAAAUAAAUAGAUUGGCAAAGCUAACCAAGAGAAUUGAAACAUCUAAGUAUCUUGAGGAAAAGAAAUCAAUUGAGAUUCCCUUAGUAGUGGCGAGCGAAAAGGGAAAAGCCUAGAGUUAUAAUCUUUUUUAUUUUUAGUAGAAUAUUUUGGAAAAAAUAGCGAAACAUGGUGAUAGCCCAGUAUACGAAAAAAAUAAUAUUAGUGGACUCAAAAAGUAAAACGGGACACGAGAAAUCUUGUUUGAAGAUGGGGGGACCAUCCUCCAAGGCUAAAUACUCCUGAUUGACCGAUAGUGAACUAGUACCGUAAGGGAAAGGCGAAAAGAACCCCGGUUAGGGGAGUGAAAUAGAUCCUGAAACCGUAUACGUACAAUCAGUAGGAGCCUAAUUUAUCAGGUGACUGCGUACCUUUUGUAUAAUGGGUCAGCGACUUGUACUUUGUAGCAAGGUUAACCAAUAUAGGGGAGCCGUAGGGAAACCGAGUCUGAAAUGGGCUAUAGUUUCAAGGUACAGACCCGAAACCCGGUGAUCUAGCUAUGGGCAGGUUGAAGGUUAGGUAAAACUAAUUGGAGGACCGAACCGACUGAUGUUGAAAAAUCAGCGGAUGACCUGUGGUUAGGGGUGAAAGGCCAAUCAAACCGGGAGAUAGCUGGUUCUCCUCGAAAGCUAUUUAGGUAGCGCCUCGUGAAUUCAUCUUCAGGGGUAGAGCACUGUUUCGGUUAGGGGGUCAUACCGACUUACCAAUCCGAUGCAAACUCCGAAUACUGAAAAAUGUUAUCACGGGAGACACACAGCGGGUGCUAACGUUCGUUGUGGAAAGGGAAACAACCCAGAUCACCAGCUAAGGUCCCAAAAUUAUAGUUAAGUGGGAAACGAUGUGGGAAGUCAUAGACAACCAGGAUGUUGGCUUAGAAGCAGCCAUCAUUUAAAGAAAGCGUAAUAGCUCACUGGUCAAGUCGGCCUGCGCGGAAGAUGUAACGGGGCUAAAACUAUAUACCGAAGCUGUGACAAUAUAAAAUAAUUUCUUUUUUUUUAUUGGGUAGAGGAGCGUUCUGUAAGCUGUUGAAGAAGUAUUGUGAAAUACUUUGGAGGUAUCAGAAGUGCGAAUGCUGACAUGAGUAACGAUAAAACAGGUGAAAAACCUGUUCGCCGAAAAACCAAGGUUUCCUGUCCAACGAUAAUCGGGGCAGGGUAAGCCGAUUCCUAAGGUGAGGCCGAAAGGCGUAAUCGAUGGUAAACAGGUUAAUAUUCCUGUGCUUAAUGUUACUGCGAAGGGAGGACGGAGAAGGUUAGAUUAUCCAGGCGUUUGGUUGUCCUGGUUUAAGCGUGUAGAUUGAAUAGUUAGGAAAAUCCGAUUAUUCUUAAGAUUAAGACGUGAUGACGAAUUACUACGGUAAUGAAGUAAUUAAUACCAUGCUUCCAAGAAAAUUCUCUAAGCAAGAGGUAGCAUUAAAUCGUACCCAAAACCGACACAGGUGGUUAAGUAGAGAAUACUAAGGCGCUUGAGAGAACCCAGGUGAAGGAACUAGGCAAAAUGAUGCCGUAACUUCGGGAGAAGGCAUGCUAAUUGUAAGUGAUGAAAUUUACUUUUUGAGCUGAAAUUAGUCGAAGAUACCAGCUAGCUGCAACUGUUUAUUAAAAACACAGCACUGUGCAAACAUGAAAAUGGAAGUAUACGGUGUGACGCCUGCCCGGUGCCGGAAGGUUAAUUAAAGGAGUUAAAGGAAACUUGAAGCUCUGGAUUGAAGCCCCGGUAAACGGCGGCCGUAACUAUAACGGUCCUAAGGUAGCGAAAUUCCUUGUCGGGUAAGUUCCGACCUGCACGAAUGGCGUAAUGAUGGCUAGGCUGUCUCCACCUGGGACUCAGUGAAAUUGAAAUUGCUGUGAAGAUGCAGUAUACCCGCGGCAAGACGGAAAGACCCCGUGAACCUUUACUAUAGCUUGAUAUUGAAUAUUGAUUUUUGAUGUGUAGGAUAGGUGGGAGACUAAGAAGUUAAGUCGUAAGGCUUAAUGGAGUUGUCCUUGAAAUACCACCCUUUGAAAUUUAGUAUUCUAACCUGAUUCCGUAAUCCGGAAUAGAGACAGUGUCUGGUGGGUAGUUUGACUGGGGCGGUCUCCUCCUAAAGAGUAACGGAGGAGUACAAAGAUUGGCUAAUCACGGUCGGAAAUCGUGAGGUUAGUGCAAAGGCAUAAGCCAGUUUAACUGUGAGCGUGAUGACGCGAGCAGAUGCGAAAGCAGGUCUUAGUGAUCCGGUGGUUCUGUAUGGAAGGGCCAUCGCUCAACAAAUAAAAGGUACUCCGGGGAUAACAGGCUAAUAUCGCCCAAGAGUUCAUAUCGACGGCGGUGUUUGGCACCUCGAUGUCGGCUCAUCACAUCCUGGGGCUGAAGCAGGUCCCAAGGGUAUGGCUGUUCGCCAUUUAAAGUGGUACGCGAGCUGGGUUUAGAACGUCGUGAGACAGUUCGGUCCCUAUCUGCCGUGGGCGUAGGAAGAUUGAGGGGAGCUACUUCUAGUACGAGAGGACCGAAGUGGACGCAUCACUGGUGUUCGGGUUGUCAUGCCAAUGGCAUUGCCCGGUAGCUAUAUGCGGAAAAGAUAAGCGCUGAAAGCAUCUAAGCACGAAGCUUACCCCAAGAUUAGUCUUCCCUGAGACGAAAGUUUACUGAAGGGACGUUGAAGACUACAACGUUGAUAGGCUGGAUGUGUAAGCAUAGUGAUAUGUUGAGCUAACCAGUACUAAUGACCCGAGAGGCUUAAUCUUACAACACCAGAG